UUGUGAAGGUUGAAGCCAGAGGAAACUCUGGUGGAGGACCGUAGCGAUUCUGACGUGCAAAUCGAUCGUAUAACGUGAGUAUAGGGGCGAAAGACUAAUCGAACUAUCUAGUAGCUGGUUCCCUCCGAAGUUUCCCUCAGGAUAGCUGGCAUUCUGAGAAAUAAACAGUUUUAUCCGGUAAAGCGAAUGAUUAGAGGCAUUGGGGAUAAAUCAUCCUCAACCUAUUCUCAAACUUUAAAUGGGUGAGAAGCUUAACUCGCUUAAUUGGAGUUUUGCAUUGAAUGUGAGUGCCAAGUGGGCCAUUUUUGGUAAGCAGAACUGGCGCUGUGGGAUGAACCAAACGUUCGGUUAAGGUGCCUAACACGACGCUCAUGAGAUACCACAAAAGGUGUUGGUUGGUCUAGACAGCAGGACGGUGGCCAUGGAAGUCGGAAGCCGCUAAGGAGUGUGUAACAACUCACCUGCCGAAUCAACCAGCCCUGAAAAUGGAUGGCGCUCGAGCGUUGGACCUAUACCGGACCGUUGCUGUAAGCUGGGCCUAUGCUGUGUGAGGGCAAGCUGCACUUGGUCCAGGCAUGGAGUAACGGCAACGAGUAGGAGGGUCGCUGUGGCUAGCGGGAAGCCUCAGGCGUGAGCCUAGGUGAAGCAACCACAGGCGCAGAUCUUGGUGGUAGUAGCAAAUAUUCAAGUGAGAACCUUGAAGGCCGAGGUGGAGAAGGGUUCCAUGGGAACAGCAGUUGACCAUGGGUCAGGCGGUCCUAAGUGAUCCGGUAAAUCGGAACAGAGACGGGGUGCCUGACAUUGUCCGUUCGCGGGCUUUGUUCAGUAAUCUGCAAAGUACUGUUGCAUUGCAGCCCCCUGUAGCGAAAGGGAAUCGGGUUAAUAUUCCCGACCCUGUCCACGGAGAUUGGUGUGUGUCGGGCCUUUGGUUCGGCGUGCGCCCAGCGCGGUAACGCAACCGACCUCGGAGACGUCGGCGGGAGUUCUGGGAAGAGUUCUCUUUUCUUUGUUAGGAGUGCAUCCACCCCCUGGAAUCGGCUUGUCCGGAGAUAGGGGGCUAGCCUCCGUAAAGCACCACCCUUCUUGUGGUGUCCGGAACGCUCCUGUCGGCCCUUGAAAAUCCGAGCGAGGCAGUAUAAUUUUCGUGGCAGGCCGU
This 1156-nucleotide ribosomal RNA is filed under the name Schistosoma mattheei. RNAcentral's name for it is "eukaryotic LSU rRNA". It matches the Rfam family "Eukaryotic large subunit ribosomal RNA", at positions 837 to 1845 of the family's 3401-position model. Lineage: Eukaryota; Metazoa; Platyhelminthes; Trematoda; Strigeidida; Schistosomatidae. The record is from RNAcentral.